UAAGACGGAGGGGGCUAGCGUUGUUCGGAAUUACUGGGCGUAAAGAGUGCGUAGGCGGUUUAGUAAGUUGGAAGUGAAAGCCCGAGGCUUAACCUCGGAACUGCUUUCAAAACUACUAAUCUAGAGUGUAGUAGGGGAUGAUGGAAUUCCUAGUGUAGAGGUGAAAUUCUUAGAUAUUAGGAGGAACACCGGUGGCGAAGGCGGUCAUCUAGGCUACAACUGACGCUGAUGCACGAAAGCGUGGGGAGCAAACAGG
Molecule: ribosomal RNA, 256 nt
Filed under: uncultured bacterium
Lineage: Bacteria
Description: partial 16S ribosomal RNA
Rfam family: Bacterial small subunit ribosomal RNA
Source: RNAcentral